AAAAAAGAUUUUUAAGAAAAAAAAUCCUGAAAAUAAACCCUGGCUGCCCUAGAUUUUGACACUAGCGAAAACUGUUCAAAUCUCACGUUAUCGACAUUGCUAGCUAAUAUCAUAAUCUAUUGUAGUUGUGUAGCUGUUAAUAGC
Long non-coding RNA from Bradysia coprophila, 144 nucleotides. Lineage: Eukaryota; Metazoa; Arthropoda; Insecta; Diptera; Sciaridae. The record is from RefSeq and is a predicted model, not a curated record.